GACGAACCGUGCGAACGUUGUUCGGAAUCACUGGGCUUAAAGGGCGCGUAGGCGGCAGUUCAAGUCCGGGGUGAAAUCCUCCAGCUCAACUGGAGAAGUGCCUUGGAUACUGGAGUGCUCGAGGGAGGUAGGGGUCGAGGGAACUUCUGGUGGAGCGGUGAAAUGCGUUGAUAUCAGAAGGAACGCCGGUGGCGAAAGCGCUCGACUGGACCUCUUCUGACGCUGAGGCGCGAAAGCUAGGGGAGCAAACGGG
Molecule: ribosomal RNA, 253 nt
Filed under: uncultured bacterium
Lineage: Bacteria
Description: partial 16S ribosomal RNA
Rfam family: Bacterial small subunit ribosomal RNA
Source: RNAcentral